UGUAUCAAGACAAGAGCGAAAAAGUACUCUGUGGAAGCAUCUGCUAAGAUCUGUGAGGCCUACAAGGCAUAUUUUGGCAUGCCUGUCGGGGAUCAAGACAAACCCUGGGCACCUCAUUUCACCUGCGAGCAAUGCAAAAAAAACUCUGGAAGCACGGGGUGCCCCAUGCACAUGUAUUACACAUGGGGAAGAAAGCGAGAAGACGAAGAAGAAUAAAGUGAUGGAGUGCUGGAGCUGGUGUGGAAAAGUUGGCGCAACCAGGCUGAGAAAACUAAACAACGACCACCAUUCGCCACUAAGUAUUGCUGACGUCGCCACGGCGCUUGCGCCAGGCUCGGCAGCAGUUGGUGUCAUGUCACGUGGACCACUUUCACGAAGACUGACAAUGUUCCCAGGGCGGAAAUGCAGACACGCAAUAGAUCUAAUACUUUUUUUUGCACGGCAUCAAUCAAUCAAUCGCUCACGUCUCUUUGUUUUGUCCUGUCACCUCUUCUAACACGCGUUUCACCACCGCUUUUCGCGCCUGGCAUUUGUAACUCGCCACGCAAAUCGGACAUGGUCAACGGAAUUUCAGGGCUUGGAGCACAUUGCCAAAAUCUCAGCGAGCCAGCUGCACCACGGGGAGGAUUAGUGGCUGCCCCAUGCACACAGAAGAUGCUGAAAGGUGAAUUUGUAUUGUGGAGUAAUCACGUGACAUUAUUAGGGCACGAUAUGAAAUGCUCAAUCAUGAGACCUAUCGUUUGCAAGAGUGGCACGUUCGCAAUGAAUCGAGAAUGUCUUAUGUACGUUGAACUUCCCCACGCGUAGUCAACCGUGCUCAUCGCAGGUGCGGUGGAAGGACAACAAACACAAAAUAAAUGACGAGGUGGCCCCAGCAGCUCUGAUGGGGGUGGGGGGAGUUGCGAAUACUGCAAUGGAGCAAUGAGCUGGCACCAUUGGGGUUCUGGGUUUGUACCCAGGCAGUUGAUUAAAUUGAAGUCUCAAGUGAACUAUUUGGUGGUUAUAGCCCCAGUCAUCGAUGACCGACCGUGCAUAAAGCAUGAUAUUACACGUGGGGU
Molecule: long non-coding RNA, 1058 nt
Organism: Lethenteron reissneri (Far Eastern brook lamprey)
Lineage: Eukaryota; Metazoa; Chordata; Hyperoartia; Petromyzontiformes; Petromyzontidae
Source: RefSeq, a predicted model, not a curated record